Molecule: ribosomal RNA, 476 nt
Filed under: uncultured bacterium
Lineage: Bacteria
Description: SSU rRNA
Rfam family: Bacterial small subunit ribosomal RNA
Source: RNAcentral
AGGACGAACGCUGGCGGCGUGCUUAACACAUGCAAGUCGAGCGGAAAGGCCCUUCGGGGUACUCGAGCGGCGAACGGGUGAGUAACACGUGAGUAACCUGCCCCUAGCUCUGGGAUAGCUCCGGGAAACCGGGAUUAAAUACCAGAUACGACCACUUUAGACAUCUGUCGUGGUGGAAAGGAUUCCGGCUAGGGAUGGGCUCGCGGCCUAUCAGCUUGUUGGUGGGGUAACGGCCUACCAAGGCGACGACGGUAGCCGGCCUGAGAGGGCGACCGGCCACACUGGGACUGAGACACGGCCCAGACUCCUACGGGAGGCAGCAGUGGGGAAUAUUGCGCAAUGGGCGAAAGCCUGACGCAGCGACGCCGCGUGGGGGAUGAAGGCCUUCGGGUUGGUAAACCCCGUUUCAGCAGGGACGAAGCGAAAGUGACGGUACCUGCAGAAGAAGCGCCGGCUAACUACGUGCCGGCAGCCGC